GGGGCAGGACAGGGGAGGGGAGGGGAAGGGGGGACAGCUCCAGGCGCAGGUGUGCAAGGGGCAGGACAGGGGAGGGGAAGGGGGGACAGCUCCAGGCGCAGGUGUGCAAGGGGCAGGACAGGGGAGGGGAGGGGAAGGGGGGACAGCUCCAGACGCAGGUGUGCAAGGGGCAGGACAGGGGAGGGGAAGGGGGGACAGCUCCAGGCGCAGGUGUGCAAGGGACAGGACAGGGGAGGGGAAGGGGGGCCAGCUCCAGAUGCAGGUGUGCAAGGGGCAGGACAGGGGAGGGAAGGGGAAGGGGGGACAGCUCCCGGGCACUCCGGGCCUUCAGCCCCCUGGCAGGUACCCGGAGGCCCCGCCUCCCCCCGGCCCAAUGUCAUUGGGAAUAGGAGUGUGUGUGUGGGGGGAGAGCAGAGGACAAUGGCCUUUUAGUCUUCAGUAUCUCAAGGUAGAGUAGAGGGACAGGGAAAGUGAAGGGGACAUGAUGGUCCCGAUUUCAGAGAGGAGAGGUUCUGUAAUGAGGAAGGGGCAUGGGGGGUGGGGUAAGGGAUGGGACAGGAGCAUUAUGGGAAAACAAUAGUUAAAGGGAAGAGGGGGCAGAGAAGAGAAGGAAGGAGAAGGGAGGGGGCA
This is a long non-coding RNA of Antechinus flavipes (yellow-footed antechinus), 630 nucleotides long. RefSeq lists it as uncharacterized. The record is from RefSeq and is a predicted model, not a curated record. The transcript is spliced from 3 exons. Lineage: Eukaryota; Metazoa; Chordata; Mammalia; Dasyuromorphia; Dasyuridae.